RNAcentral lists this ribosomal RNA (406 nucleotides) under uncultured bacterium. RNAcentral's name for it is "partial 16S ribosomal RNA". It matches the Rfam family "Bacterial small subunit ribosomal RNA", at positions 30 to 526 of the family's 1533-position model. The record is from RNAcentral.
AUUGAACGCUCGCGGCAGGCCUAACACAUGCAAGUCGAGCGAGCGGCGGACGGGUGAGUAAUGUCUGGUAAACUGCCUGAGGGAGGGGGAUAACUACUGGAAACGGUAGCUAAUACAGCAUACCAUCAAAUAUGCCAAGCUGGGAUUAGCUCGUAGGUGGGGUAACGGCUCACCUAGGCGACGAUCCCUAGCUGGUCUGAGAGGAUGACCAGUCACACUGGAACUGAGAAACGGUCCAGACUCCUCCGGGAGGACGCAGUGGGGCAUAUUGCACAAUGGGAGUAAGCCUGAUGGAGCCAUGCCGGGUGUAUGACGAAGGCAGUGGGGUUGUAAAGUAAUUUCAGCGGGGAGGCGUUACCCGCAGAAGAAGGACCGGCUAACUCCGUGCCAGCAGCCGCGGUAAUAC